AACGCACAUUGCGCCCCUCGGUAUUCCGUGGGGCAUGCCUGUUCGAGCGUCAUCCAAACCCUCAAGCCCUCCGGUGUUGCCCUGGCUCUGGCCGGGGCUGCGCCAGGCUUGGUGUUGGGCGUCUUGUCCCCGCUGCGGCGCGGACUCGCCCCGAAUGCAUUGGCAGCGGCCGCCUGGCUCCUCGCGCAGCACAGCGCGCAGAGGGGCGAGGGUCGGCGCGCGUCCCAGCAAGCCACAUCACCAGUUUGACCUCGGAUCAGGUAGGGAUACCCGCUGAACUUAA
RNAcentral lists this unclassified non-coding RNA (283 nucleotides) under uncultured fungus. RNAcentral describes it as "partial contains 5.8S ribosomal RNA, internal transcribed spacer 2, and large subunit ribosomal RNA". Lineage: Eukaryota; Fungi. The record is from RNAcentral.